Molecule: transfer RNA, 85 nt
Filed under: Felis catus (domestic cat)
Lineage: Eukaryota; Metazoa; Chordata; Mammalia; Carnivora; Felidae
Also listed under: 2 other names
Rfam family: tRNA
About the family: Transfer RNA (tRNA) molecules are approximately 80 nucleotides in length. Their secondary structure includes four short double-helical elements and three loops (D, anti-codon, and T loops). Further hydrogen bonds mediate the characteristic L-shaped molecular structure. tRNAs have two regions of fundamental functional importance: the anti-codon, which is responsible for specific mRNA codon recognition, and the 3' end, to which the tRNAs corresponding amino acid is attached (by aminoacyl-tRNA synthetases). tRNAs cope with the degeneracy of the genetic code in two manners: having more than one tRNA (with a specific anti-codon) for a particular amino acid; and 'wobble' base-pairing, i.e. permitting non-standard base-pairing at the 3rd anti-codon position.
Source: Rfam by way of RNAcentral
GCCUGUGUGGCUCAGUUGGUUGAGCGUCCGACUUCGGUUCAGGUUAUGAUCUCAUGGUUUGUGAGUUCAAGCCCCACGUCAGGCU